Molecule: long non-coding RNA, 1184 nt
Organism: Vicia villosa (hairy vetch)
Lineage: Eukaryota; Viridiplantae; Streptophyta; Magnoliopsida; Fabales; Fabaceae
Exons: 2
Source: RefSeq, a predicted model, not a curated record
CCGGAAAAUUCUUCAACGUGUUAACUAUACUUCCCGGUGAAACAAACGGCGGUAUCACAACAUGUUCAACCUUCUGACAAGGAUGAUCAUAGGUGACGCCAAACGUUUGUAACACAAUUGAUCUCUUCAUGAUUUCAGGGUAUGGAAACAAGAGCCGAAAUCAUGGGAAGCUACAAAAACAUGGUCGGAGCCUCUGCUUCGGUUCCAGAACGGGUAAUCAGAUGAGAUGAGAUGAACUGCAGAAGAAAUUAAGGAACGCGCGUGACCGAUGGCAGGGAAGCCAUUAACGGUGCUGAAGUUACAGGAAACGUAAACGGGUACGAAGAAAAAGUCAGCGUCAUAAGGGUCAAAAGUUCGAGAAUCGCUUGUUAACAAAGCUUUAUGGAUAGCAACUUCUGAAGCAAAUAAAUGAGUUUUGCAUCGUUGGUUUGUGAGCCAAACUGUGUUGUAUUUCGGAGGAAGAUCGUAGAUGAAUAUCUUGAGAUUUUUUAUAUUUGAUGUUGUUUUGUUGGUGGAAAAGGAUUGAGAUUGAGAAAGUGAUUUUAUGAUGUGGGUUGGUUUAGGGUGAUUGUUGUUAUUGUUGUUGUUGCUGAUGAGGUAGGAAGUGAAGAAAUAGAGAGAAAGAGAAAGCCAGAGAAUCCAUUUGAAGUAUUUAUGGAAAGAGUUGUAUUUUUCUUGUUGAGGUCUAAAACCAUGUUUGUUGUUGUGCAUGAGUUUCAUUUUAACAUAGUAUCCUUUGUUGUUUUUUGAGGAUGUUUUCUUGAGAUUCUCCAUUUCAUUUAUUGAAAGUGAGAAGGAAAUGGAUUGAAGAUGAAGGAUGGUGAGAGGUUGAGAGAGUGUUUGGUAGUUGGGAGGGUGUUUUCGUGUUCUGGUAUGGGAAGAAGUGGAAGCGAAGAAACAGCGAUGGAGGAAGAAACAGUGAUGGAGGAGAAGGAAAGGUGUGAAUUUUUGUUGGGAUUUCGUUAUUGAACAGAGAGGAUAAAUUGUUUUUUAUUUUCGGAAAAUGGGUGUUAUGUUAAAUUAAUGUGUUAUAAUUAAUGCUUUUAAAUUUUAAUGGGUGUUCUGGUGGUGUGUUAAAUUAAGGCUUUUAAAAUUUUAUAUUUUUCUACAGGGUGUAAUGUACUAAUGUAUAGUCUGUAUUGUUGUCCUUGUGGUUUUAUUCGGAAUGAGUGGACAUUUUCCUA